UUUAGCAGCACAUAAACUAAACUAAAAAUUGGAGCAAUACAGAGAAUAUUAGCAUGGCCCCUACAUAAAGGUAACACACAAAUUCAUGAAGCAAUGCAUAUUUUU
RNAcentral lists this small nuclear RNA (105 nucleotides) under Neotoma lepida (desert woodrat). Lineage: Eukaryota; Metazoa; Chordata; Mammalia; Rodentia; Cricetidae. The record is from RNAcentral.